Molecule: non-coding RNA, 1521 nt
Organism: Manis javanica (Malayan pangolin)
Lineage: Eukaryota; Metazoa; Chordata; Mammalia; Pholidota; Manidae
Source: RefSeq, a predicted model, not a curated record
UCACGGGAGAGACUCCUUAUAUACAGGCGCCUGGCGGCCAUCUCGGUCUUUUGAGGUUAGGCGUCGGGGUUUGGGAACGUGCCAGGCACGAACGCGAUGUGGCAUUUGAUGGCCUCUGAUGGACAGUUAAGUGCCAGUGGGAUGAAAAGAGCUGCCGGGUCCUAAAGGUCUGGCCAUGGGUAAACAGGCACAAAACAGAAUUAGCUGAAAGUUCAAGGGGUGGACUUGAGUGACAUGUUCAGACCAUCUUGAUUUUUUUGUUACUGGGUGCAUGUCUUAAAUCUGUGGAUGGCUUGCUUUGGGGUACAGAUUUUGAAGUCAUAUAUAAAGUUUCAGGAGUUGCAUUGGCUACAAGGCAUGGAAUGAGGAGCUUUAAGCAAAGGCAGUCCUGUUACCCUGAAGAAUCAAGGCUAUUUAUGAUGGCAACAAUCUCCAGCUUACCAACUGAAAGCUGAAACAUCACUAUGCAGCUUCAUAGGAUUCUCUUGAGGCUGAUUGAACUGGCCCCGUCACCUAUUACCCACAUUUCACACGAUUUGAUUACCUCUGUCCUCAGUGAACAAAUCGGGUGGAAAACACUAUGCUAUUAUACUCCAACAAGGAGCCAUCUUUCACACCUCUCCAAGUAAGAAUCUUCAAGUGUCCCGAACAAAGAAAAAUACUAAUGUAUGUUAUCAGGUCAAAACUGGAUACCUUCUGUUUCUUCAUUGUGGAGAAUGUUGCCUGGACUCUCCCCCUAAAAACAUGAUUGCCGUAUCUGGCUGAACUCCAGAUCUGGUGUUAGCCUGGGAAGGCAGAGGACAAACCCAUAAACUCAACUUUCUGGACAGUGUGGAUGAUUCAAGGAGCUCUUCUCUGCUGCUGAGUCUGCUGACCAGGAAACCUGGAUAUGAUAGGGCUUCAGUUCCUCAGGAGAGAGAGAAUCAGGUGCAUUGCUCAUGAGAUCAUGCCCCCGGAAGGAUUUGGGGAAGGCUAUGACAUCUCUGAUGCUUGGUGCUCCAGUGACAAGGCAUAUCAGUCUGUCUAAUCCUGUGAGUAAAAUACAAAAUUAACAGAUGAGAAUGUAAUCUAAGAUUCGGAGUGACUAAAUUUUAUGAAGGUUGUAAGAACUUCUAAAUCAAUCUAACAAGUUGUAGCCAAGCACAGGUCCCUGACUUUUUAGAGAACUUUUGUUUGUGUGAUUCUUUUCUUAUUCUAGAAAAAUGCUCAAAGGGCCUAGAGUCUAGGUGAGCAUCCUGGAAUUUCUCACUCUUCUUGCUUGGUAAAACUAGCAAGGUGAGUGACCAUGGCCAUCAGAAGAGCGCUGGCAUAUUUCCACUUUUGUACAAGCUGAAUACUAUGGACCAGUGGUUUCCAGACUCCAGUAAAUGUGUCUGUGAGCCCUCAGGGAUUCGAGCAAUCCUGACUGAAGACUAGUUUUAUUCUAUUAAAUCUUUCAAAUGUAAAUUACUCAUUUUUAUCUUAACAUUUAUAAUGUAAAAAUACGUCACUGAAAUGGAAAAACAAACUUAAAUUCUUGUA